This 253-nucleotide ribosomal RNA is filed under the name uncultured bacterium. RNAcentral describes it as "partial 16S ribosomal RNA". It matches the Rfam family "Bacterial small subunit ribosomal RNA", at positions 524 to 776 of the family's 1533-position model. The record is from RNAcentral.
UACAGAGGGUGCAAGUGUUGUUCGGAAUUAUUGGGCGUAAAGGGCGCGUAGGUGGUUUGGUAAGUCGGGUGUGAAAUCCCUGGGCUCAACUCAGGAACUGCAUUCGAUACUGCCAGGCUAGAGUGCGGUAGAGGGUAGUGGAAUUCCCGGUGUAGAGGUGAAAUUCGUAGAGAUCGGGAGGAACACCAGUGGCGAAGGCGGUUACCUGGGCCGACACUGACGCUAAGGCGCGAAAGCGUGGGGAGCAAACAGG